GGGUUGUGAGGUUAAGCGACUAAGCGUACACGGUGGAUGCCCUGGCAGUCAGAGGCGAUGAAGGGCGUGCUAAUCUGCGAUAAGCGCCGGUAAGGUGAUAUGAACCGUUAUAACCGGCGAUACCCGAAUGGGGAAACCCAGUGUGAUUCGUCACACUAUCAUUAACUGAAUCCAUAGGUUAAUGAGGCGAACCGGGGGAACUGAAACAUCUAAGUACCCCGAGGAAAAGAAAUCAACCGAGAUUCCCCCAGUAGCGGCGAGCGAACGGGGAGGAGCCCAGAGCCUGAAUCAGCAUGUGUGUUAGUGGAAGCGUCUGGAAAGGCGCGCGAUACAGGGUGACAGCCCCGUACACAAAAGCGCAUGUGCUGUGAGCUCGAUGAGUAGGGCGGGACACGUGGUAUCCUGUCUGAAUAUGGGGGGACCAUCCUCCAAGGCUAAAUACUCCUGACUGACCGAUAGUGAACCAGUACCGUGAGGGAAAGGCGAAAAGAACCCCGGCGAGGGGAGUGAAAAAGAACCUGAAACCGUGUACGUACAAGCAGUGGGAGCACAGGUUUACCUGUGUGACUGCGUACCUUUUGUAUAAUGGGUCAGCGACUUAUAUUCUGUAGCAAGGUUAACCGAAUAGGGGAGCCGGAGGGAAACCGAGUCUUAAUUGGGCGUUAAGUUGCAGGGUAUAGACCCGAAACCCGGUGAUCUAGCCAUGGGCAGGUUGAAGGUUGGGUAACACUAACUGGAGGACCGAACCGACUAAUGUUGAAAAAUUAGCGGAUGACCUGUGGCUGGGGGUGAAAGGCCAAUCAAACCGGGAGAUAGCUGGUUCUCCCCGAAAGCUAUUUAGGUAGCGCCUCGUGAAUUCAUCUCCGGGGGUAGAGCACUGUUUCGGCUAGGGGGCCAUCCCGGCUUACCAACCCGAUGCAAACUGCGAAUACCGGAGAAUGUUAUCACGGGAGACACACGGCGGGUGCUAACGUCCGUCGUGAAGAGGGAAACAACCCAGACCGCCAGCUAAGGUCCCAAAGUCAUGGUUAAGUGGGAAACGAUGUGGGAAGGCCCAGACAGCCAGGAUGUUGGCUUAGAAGCAGCCAUCAUUUAAAGAAAGCGUAAUAGCUCACUGGUCGAGUCGGCCUGCGCGGAAGAUGUAACGGGGCUAAACCAUGCACCGAAGCUGCGGCAGCGACGCUUAUGCGUUGUUGGGUAGGGGAGCGUUCUGUAAGCCUGUGAAGGUGGCCUGUGAGGGUUGCUGGAGGUAUCAGAAGUGCGAAUGCUGACAUAAGUAACGAUAAAGCGGGUGAAAAGCCCGCUCGCCGGAAGACCAAGGGUUCCUGUCCAACGUUAAUCGGGGCAGGGUGAGUCGACCCCUAAGGCGAGGCCGAAAGGCGUAGUCGAUGGGAAACGGGUUAAUAUUCCCGUACUUGGUGUUACUGCGAAGGGGGGACGGAGAAGGCUAUGUUGGCCGGGCGACGGUUGUCCCGGUUUAAGCGUGUAGGUGUGUGUUCCAGGUAAAUCCGGUUCACUUUAACACUGAGGCGUGAUGACGAGGCACUACGGUGCUGAAGUAACAAAUGCCCUGCUUCCAGGAAAAGCCUCUAAGCAUCAGGUAACAUCAAAUCGUACCCCAAACCGACACAGGUGGUCAGGUAGAGAAUACCAAGGCGCUUGAGAGAACUCGGGUGAAGGAACUAGGCAAAAUGGUGCCGUAACUUCGGGAGAAGGCACGCUGACACGUAGGUGAAGUGAUUUACUCAUGGAGCUGAAGUCAGUCGAAGAUACCAGCUGGCUGCAACUGUUUAUUAAAAACACAGCACUGUGCAAACACGAAAGUGGACGUAUACGGUGUGACGCCUGCCCGGUGCCGGAAGGUUAAUUGAUGGGGUCAGCGCAAGCGAAGCUCCUGAUCGAAGCCCCGGUAAACGGCGGCCGUAACUAUAACGGUCCUAAGGUAGCGAAAUUCCUUGUCGGGUAAGUUCCGACCUGCACGAAUGGCGUAAUGAUGGCCAGGCUGUCUCCACCCGAGACUCAGUGAAAUUGAACUCGCUGUGAAGAUGCAGUGUACCCGCGGCAAGACGGAAAGACCCCGUGAACCUUUACUAUAGCUUGACACUGAACAUUGAGCCUUGAUGUGUAGGAUAGGUGGGAGGCUUUGAAGCGUGGACGCCAGUCUGCGUGGAGCCGACCUUGAAAUACCACCCUUUAAUGUUUGAUGUUCUAACGUGGACCCGUGAUCCGGGUUGCGGACAGUGUCUGGUGGGUAGUUUGACUGGGGCGGUCUCCUCCUAAAGAGUAACGGAGGAGCACGAAGGUUGGCUAAUCCUGGUCGGACAUCAGGAGGUUAGUGCAAUGGCAUAAGCCAGCUUGACUGCGAGCGUGACGGCGCGAGCAGGUGCGAAAGCAGGUCAUAGUGAUCCGGUGGUUCUGAAUGGAAGGGCCAUCGCUCAACGGAUAAAAGGUACUCCGGGGAUAACAGGCUGAUACCGCCCAAGAGUUCAUAUCGACGGCGGUGUUUGGCACCUCGAUGUCGGCUCAUCACAUCCUGGGGCUGAAGUAGGUCCCAAGGGUAUGGCUGUUCGCCAUUUAAAGUGGUACGCGAGCUGGGUUUAGAACGUCGUGAGACAGUUCGGUCCCUAUCUGCCGUGGGCGCUGGAGAACUGAGGGGGGCUGCUCCUAGUACGAGAGGACCGGAGUGGACGCAUCACUGGUGUUCGGGUUGUCAUGCCAAUGGCACUGCCCGGUAGCUAAAUGCGGAAGAGAUAAGUGCUGAAAGCAUCUAAGCACGAAACUUGCCCCGAGAUGAGUUCUCCCUGAGACUUAGAGUCUCCUGAAGGAACGUUGAAGACGACGACGUUGAUAGGCCGGGUGUGUAAGCGCAGCGAUGCGUUGAGCUAACCGGUACUAAUGAACCGUGAGGCUUAACCUUACAACGCCGAAG
Molecule: ribosomal RNA, 2929 nt
Filed under: Salmonella enterica subsp. enterica serovar Dublin
Lineage: Bacteria; Pseudomonadati; Pseudomonadota; Gammaproteobacteria; Enterobacterales; Enterobacteriaceae
Description: bacterial LSU rRNA
Rfam family: Bacterial large subunit ribosomal RNA
Source: RNAcentral